CCUACGGGUGGCAGCAGUGAGGAAUAUUGGUCAAUGGGCGCCAGCCUGCACCAGCCAAGUAGCGUGAAGGAUGACUGCCCUACGGGUUGUAAACUUCUUUUAUAAAGGAAUAAAGUGAGGCACGUGUGCCUUUUUGUAUGUACUUUAUGAAUAAGGAUCGGCUAACUACGUGCCAGCAGCCGCGGUCAUACGGAGGAUCCGAGCGUUAUCCGGAUUUAUUGGGUUUAAAGGGAGCGUAGAUGGGUUGUUACGUCAGUUGUGAAAGUUUGCGGCUCAACCGUAAAAUUGCAAUUGAUACUGGCAGCCAUGAGAACAGUUGAGGUAGGCGGAAUUCGUGGUGUAGCGGUGAAAU
This 352-nucleotide ribosomal RNA is filed under the name uncultured bacterium. RNAcentral's name for it is "partial 16S ribosomal RNA". It matches the Rfam family "Bacterial small subunit ribosomal RNA", at positions 338 to 687 of the family's 1533-position model. The record is from RNAcentral.